Molecule: microRNA, 24 nt
Filed under: Ananas comosus (pineapple)
Lineage: Eukaryota; Viridiplantae; Streptophyta; Magnoliopsida; Poales; Bromeliaceae
Description: microRNA s1575_c091b
Source: RNAcentral
ACAAGUGGCAAAAAAUUCGGUGGU